CCCAGCUGAAGCCUGCAGGACAGGCACAAGGCAGGUGAAGCCUGAGAGCUGCUCUCACCCAAGCUCAGGGGAGGUGCUUGCUCCAUAUGGAUGUGUACUGCCCAUGCUUCAGCUCUGGCAGGGUUUGCCAGGCCCAAAGCUCUGAAACAGCCCAGUGAAAACUGUCUCCAGGUGGAAUCUACACAGAAUGCAGCCUACGUGGCCAGCUUUCUGUUUUGGUGUCUGGAAAAGGAAAACCACAAAUACUUAUGCUUUUCUUUGACUCCUAGCAACAGCGCUCAGUGUUGUGAAUAAAACCACCCUGGAGCUCUGCAGGAAGUACAGGAGGAGGACAAGCCCUUGGGCUAAUUUACAACCAGGCUUUUCCUGCUCUAGAAACAGUUCUGAAGUGCUCUUCAGCAUCCCCUGUGUUGCUAAAUUAUUUGUGGCUGCAACAGGAGUGUUCUGGUGGAAGUCUCUUCCAGCCGGGCGGCGCACAGCACCACAGCCCAGCUCCCUGCUCGCCGUGGGCACCGCGCUGCGCUCCUCUGCUCCCGGCCAGGCUCAGCCGCUCCUGGCAGCUGCAGGCCAGCUCCUGAGAGACACCACUCCGGCAUCCCCAGGCGGGGACACAACGGGCCCCGUGGCUUGUAAAGGCUUUGAGGCGCCUGCCUUGCAAAGCCAUGGGAGCCACCAGAGCACCCUUGCAGACUCAGUACUGGUGACCCAUUAACAGCCAGAUCAAAGAAACGCCUUUUCCUCAUGCACCAGCCAGCAACAGCAACUGUGUCUGCACCAUCCUCAGAGCUGCAGCACACACAGCAAAGCACACCCACCAGCCCAGCCUUAAGAGCACUCUCCGGUACCCCCUCCACAGAGCGCAGCUCACAGCUCUUGCUGCAUCUGUAAGGAGCUACGCUCUCCCUGUAUACCAGACACUUCUUGGACGAGGCAUUUUCAGAGGCCCCAGCUCAACAAGCUGACAUCAUGUGCUUGAUGUUGCCAAACAAGGAUGAGCUGUUGCUAGAACAAUCAAUUUUUUAAAAUCUCUGACUGUUACCCUUAGUCCUGCAGUAACUAUAGUAACAGCGCUCAGGGCUUCCCCCUCUCCAAAAGGCUCUGCAGCUGCACAGCUCCGCAGCACACAAGGCUGCAUGUGGUGGCAGGCAGGCUGCUGGCUCCCAGUACCACCUUCUGGGCCAAGCUGCAGGUGCUGGUGCGCCAUGGACUCUGGCCCUGGUCACCUCAGGGCUGCCCACCUUCCCCUGCCCUGGUGGCACUGUCCCCGGCUGCAGCAGCCACCUCUGGCCCCCUGCAAAGGGGCUGUGUGGGCACAGGCAGCCCUUGCCCUCUGGCCCACCCAUCCUGUGCAGUGCCACCUCCAACACCUGCACUCACAGAGGGACCAUGCACGCCACAAGGCAAGAGUGAAGAGCAAAUCACACGUGACUUGUUUGUUGAGCUGAGUUAAAAGAUCAAGCAAUUGAUACUGGAAUCAGAAGCACACAAAGAAGGAACAGCCAAGUACAUUGUCAGUAUGGUACACUUCGGCUGCUGCCAGCUAAUCUCUUGGCUCCCUCCAGCAUGCCCAGUGCUGCCGAGGCUGGCGCAGGUGCCAGCUGAAGCAGACCUCUCUCUUUGAAGUGGGGGCAUAAACGCUGCCAUAGGGGUACACCCUGGUUCAGCUGGUGAUCCCAUCUUCAAGGCACU
This is a long non-coding RNA of Anas platyrhynchos (mallard), 1689 nucleotides long. RefSeq lists it as uncharacterized. NCBI's taxonomy places the organism in Eukaryota, Metazoa, Chordata, Aves, Anseriformes, Anatidae. The record is from RefSeq and is a predicted model, not a curated record.